This 2926-nucleotide ribosomal RNA is filed under the name Staphylococcus epidermidis. RNAcentral describes it as "bacterial LSU rRNA". It matches the Rfam family "Bacterial large subunit ribosomal RNA". Lineage: Bacteria; Bacillati; Bacillota; Bacilli; Caryophanales; Staphylococcaceae. The record is from RNAcentral.
AGAUUAAGUUAUUAAGGGCGCACGGUGGAUGCCUUGGCACUAGAAGCCGAUGAAGGACGUUACUAACGACGAUAUGCUUUGGGUAGCUGUAAGUAAGCGUUGAUCCAGAGAUUUCCGAAUGGGGGAACCCAGCAUGAGUUAUGUCAUGUUAUCGACAUGUGAAUUCAUAGCAUGUCAGAAGGCAGACCCGGAGAACUGAAACAUCUUAGUACCCGGAGGAAGAGAAAGAAAAAUCGAUUCCCUGAGUAGCGGCGAGCGAAACGGGAAGAGCCCAAACCAACAAGCUUGCUUGUUGGGGUUGUAGGACACUCUAUACGGAGUUACAAAAGAACAUGUUAGACGAAUCAUCUGGAAAGAUGAAUCAAAGAAGGUAAUAAUCCUGUAGUCGAAAACAUAUUCUCUCUUGAGUGGAUCCUGAGUACGACGGAGCACGUGAAAUUCCGUCGGAAUCUGGGAGGACCAUCUCCUAAGGCUAAAUACUCUCUAGUGACCGAUAGUGAACCAGUACCGUGAGGGAAAGGUGAAAAGCACCCCGGAAGGGGAGUGAAAGAGAACUUGAAACCGUGUGCUUACAAGUAGUCAGAGCCCGUUAAUGGGUGAUGGCGUGCCUUUUGUAGAAUGAACCGGCGAGUUACGAUCUGAUGCAAGGUUAAGCAGCAAAUGUGGAGCCGCAGCGAAAGCGAGUCUGAAUAGGGCGUUGAGUAUUUGGUCGUAGACCCGAAACCAGGUGAUCUACCCUUGGUCAGGUUGAAGUUCAGGUAACACUGAAUGGAGGACCGAACCGACUUACGUUGAAAAGUGAGCGGAUGAACUGAGGGUAGCGGAGAAAUUCCAAUCGAACUUGGAGAUAGCUGGUUCUCUCCGAAAUAGCUUUAGGGCUAGCCUCAAGUGAUGAUUAUUGGAGGUAGAGCACUGUUUGGACGAGGGGCCCCUCUCGGGUUACCGAAUUCAGACAAACUCCGAAUGCCAAUUAAUUUAACUUGGGAGUCAGAACAUGGGUGAUAAGGUCCGUGUUCGAAAGGGAAACAGCCCAGACCACCAGCUAAGGUCCCAAAAUAUAUGUUAAGUGGAAAAGGAUGUGGCGUUGCCCAGACAACUAGGAUGUUGGCUUAGAAGCAGCCAUCAUUUAAAGAGUGCGUAAUAGCUCACUAGUCGAGUGACACUGCGCCGAAAAUGUACCGGGGCUAAACAUAUUACCGAAGCUGUGGAUUGUCCUUUGGACAAUGGUAGGAGAGCGUUCUAAGGGCGUCGAAGCAUGAUCGCAAGGACAUGUGGAGCGCUUAGAAGUGAGAAUGCCGGUGUGAGUAGCGAAAGACGGGUGAGAAUCCCGUCCACCGAUUGACUAAGGUUUCCAGAGGAAGGCUCGUCCGCUCUGGGUUAGUCGGGUCCUAAGCUGAGGCCGACAGGCGUAGGCGAUGGAUAACAGGUUGAUAUUCCUGUACCACCUAGUAUCGUUUUAAUCGAUGGGGGGACGCAGUAGGAUAGGCGAAGCGUGCUGUUGGAGUGCACGUCCAAGCAGUAAGGCUGAGUGUUAGGCAAAUCCGGCACUCAUAAGGCUGAGCUGUGACGGGGAGAGGAAAUUGUUUCCUCGAGUCGUUGAUUUCACACUGCCGAGAAAAGCCUCUAGAUAGAUAACAGGUGCCCGUACCGCAAACCGACACAGGUAGUCAAGAUGAGAAUUCUAAGGUGAGCGAGCGAACUCUCGUUAAGGAACUCGGCAAAAUGACCCCGUAACUUCGGGAGAAGGGGUGCUCUUUAGGGUUCACGCCCAGAAGAGCCGCAGUGAAUAGGCCCAAGCGACUGUUUAUCAAAAACACAGGUCUCUGCUAAACCGUAAGGUGAUGUAUAGGGGCUGACGCCUGCCCGGUGCUGGAAGGUUAAGAGGAGUGGUUAGCUUCUGCGAAGCUACGAAUCGAAGCCCCAGUAAACGGCGGCCGUAACUAUAACGGUCCUAAGGUAGCGAAAUUCCUUGUCGGGUAAGUUCCGACCCGCACGAAAGGCGUAACGAUUUGGGCACUGUCUCAACGAGAGACUCGGUGAAAUCAUAGUACCUGUGAAGAUGCAGGUUACCCGCGACAGGACGGAAAGACCCCGUGGAGCUUUACUGUAGCCUGAUAUUGAAAUUCGGCACAGCUUGUACAGGAUAGGUAGGAGCCUUUGAAACGUGAGCGCUAGCUUACGUGGAGGCGUUGGUGGGAUACUACCCUAGCUGUGUUGGCUUUCUAACCCGCACCACUUAUCGUGGUGGGAGACAGUGUCAGGCGGGCAGUUUGACUGGGGCGGUCGCCUCCUAAAAGGUAACGGAGGCGCUCAAAGGUUCCCUCAGAAUGGUUGGAAAUCAUUCAUAGAGUGUAAAGGCAUAAGGGAGCUUGACUGCGAGACCUACAAGUCGAGCAGGGUCGAAAGACGGACUUAGUGAUCCGGUGGUUCCGCAUGGAAGGGCCAUCGCUCAACGGAUAAAAGCUACCCCGGGGAUAACAGGCUUAUCUCCCCCAAGAGUUCACAUCGACGGGGAGGUUUGGCACCUCGAUGUCGGCUCAUCGCAUCCUGGGGCUGUAGUCGGUCCCAAGGGUUGGGCUGUUCGCCCAUUAAAGCGGUACGCGAGCUGGGUUCAGAACGUCGUGAGACAGUUCGGUCCCUAUCCGUCGUGGGCGUAGGAAAUUUGAGAGGAGCUGUCCUUAGUACGAGAGGACCGGGAUGGACAUACCUCUGGUGUACCAGUUGUCGUGCCAACGGCAUAGCUGGGUAGCUAUGUAUGGACGGGAUAAGUGCUGAAAGCAUCUAAGCAUGAAGCCCCCCUCAAGAUGAGAUUUCCCAACUUCGGUUAUAAGAUCCCUCGAAGAUGACGAGGUUAAUAGGUUCGAGGUGGAAGCGUGGUGACACGUGGAGCUGACGAAUACUAAUCGAUCGAAGACUUAAUCAAUUU